RNAcentral lists this ribosomal RNA (91 nucleotides) under Fukomys damarensis (Damara mole-rat). Lineage: Eukaryota; Metazoa; Chordata; Mammalia; Rodentia; Bathyergidae. The record is from RNAcentral.
GUCUACGGCCAUACCACCCUGAAUGAGCCCGAUCUCGUCUGAUCUUGGAGGCUAAGCAGGGAAUGGAAGCUGGUGGAAGCUUCUGCUGACC